CUCUGAGUUCAUCUAUUGACAGGGUUUACCUCCAGACCCACACACUCUCUGAGUUCAUCUAUUGGCAGGGUUUACCUCCAGACCCACACACUCUCAGAGUUCAUCUAUUGGCAGGGUUUACCUCCAGACCCACACACUCUCUGAGUUCAUCUAUUGGCAGGGUUUACCUCCAGACCCACACACUCUCUGAGUUAAUCUAUUGGCAGUGUUUACCUCCAGACCCACACACUCUCUGAGUUCAUCUAUUGGCAGGGUUUACCUCCAGACCCACACAUUCUCUGAGUUCAUCUAUUGGCAGGCUUUACCUCCAGACCCACACACUCUCUGAGUUCAUCUAUUGGCAGGGUUUACCUCCAGACCCACACACUCUCUGAGUUCCUCUAUUGACAGGGUUUACCUCCAGACCCACACACUCUCUGAGUUCAUCUAUUGGCAGGGUUUACCUCCAGACCCACACAUUCUCUGAGUUCAUCUAUUGGCAGGGUUUACCUCCAGACCCAUACAUUAUGUCCAUGGUGCUGUCAAAGUGACCAUGUGGUCCAGUAGAUGGAGUGGUUGUGGUGGUAUAAAGGUCCAUAGCUACACAGACUGGGCACAUUAAUCAGUGUCCAAUUUACACAGCACCAUCCAGAGGUGAGGAUGGGUUCUGAACUUUUGAUUGCAAACAUAGAGGGCAUCUGUUAGGGACUGGGUUUACCAGACCUAGGGCUAGGCUAGACAAAGGGUUUACCAGACCUAGGGCUAGGCUAGACGAAGGGUUUACCAGACCUAGGGCUAGGCUAGACGAAGGGUUUACCAGACCUAGGGCUAGGCUAGACGAAGGGUUUACCAGACCUAGGGCUAGGCUAGACGAAGGGUUUACCAGACCUAGGGCUAGGCUAGACAAAGGGUUUACCAGACCUAUGGCUAGGCUAGAUGAAGGGUUUACCAGACCUAGGGCUAGGCUAGACGAAGGGUUUACCAGACCUAGGGCUAGGCUAGACGAAGGGUUUACCAGACCUAGGGCUAGGCUAGACGAAGGGUUUACCAGACCUAGGGCUAGGCUAGACGAAGGGUUUACCAGACCUAGGGCUAGGCUAGACGAAGGGUUUAACAGACGUAGGGCUAGGCUAGACGAAGGGUUUAACAGACGUAGGGCUAGGCUAGACGAAGGGUUUACCAGACCUAGGGCUAGGCUAGACGAAGGGUUUACCAGACCUAGGGCUAGGCUAGACGAAGGGUUUACCAGACCUAGGGCUAGGCUAGACGAAGGGUUUAACAGACGUAGGGCUAGGCUAGACGAAGGGUUUACCAGACCUAGGGCUAGGCUAGACGAAGGGUUUACCAGACCUAGGGCUAGGCUAGACGAAGCGUUUACCAGACCUAGGGCUAGGCUAGACGAAGGGUUUACCAGACCUAGGGCUAGGCUAGACGAAGGGUUUAACAGACGUAGGGCUAGGCUAGACGAAGGGUUUAACAGAUGUAGGGCUAGGCUAGACGAAGGGUUUACCAGACCUAGGGCUAGGCUAGACGAAGGGUUUACCAGACCUAGGGCUAGGCUAGACGAAGGGUUUACCAGACCUAGGUUUAGAGGAAGGGAUCCCCAUGACAACAUCAACUGAACGAAUUACAAUCUGAACAUUCUAAAAUGGUGGUGGGGGGGGGGUGAAUGGAGAAAUGAAUGAACAGGGUAGAGAGAGCCCAUCCCACCCUCACCAGGGCCUCUCGUCUCUGAAGUCAGUGCCCACCCCGUUUCUCUCUCACUCCUCUCCCUGCCUCAUGCUGCCAGCCAGCAGGGAAACUAGGUCACUGAACUCUGUCUGCUCUCUGUUUUUUGUAUAUAAAUUAAAGCCAAAAGGCUGAACUCUCCCUCUCUAGCUGGUCAGCCGUCGCCACAAAGCUUUUCACCAGAGGAGGGUUAGAGUAAAAAAACACAUACAGGCAGGCAGUCACACACACAUACAGGCAGGCAGUCACACACACAAACAGGCGCACACACAGACAAACAGGCACACACACAGACAAACAGGCACACACACACACACACAAACAGACACACACACACACAAACAUGCAGGCACACACACAAACAGGCAGGCAGUCACACACACAAACAGGCAGUCACACACACAUACAGGCAGGCAAGCACACACACAAACAGGCACACAAACAGGCACACACACACACACACACACACAAACAGACACACACACACACACAAACAUGCAGGCACACACACAAACAGGCAGGCAGUCACACAAACAGGCAGUCACACACACAAACAGGCAGUCACACACACAUACAGGCAGGCACACACACAAACAGGCAGGCACACACACAUACAGACAGGCGGUCACACACACAAACAGGCAGGCGGUCACACACACAAACAGGCAGGCAGUCACACACACAAACAGGCAAGCAGUCACACACAUACAAACAGGCAGGCACACAAACAGGCAGUCACACACACAAACAGGCAGGCACACACACAUACAGGCAGGCACACACACAUACAGGCAGGCACACACACAUACAGGCAGGCACACACACACAAACAGGCAGGCACACACACAGGCAGGCAGGCAGGCACACACACACACAAACAGGCAGUCACACACACAAACAGGCAGUCACACACACAAACAGGCAGUCACACACAAUCAGGCAUGCAUGCAUGCAGACAGACAGCAUAAAACACUAAAACAUGCAUGCAGACAGACAGACAGGGUAAAACACUAAAACAUGCAAGCGCGCCCUCACACACACAGUAAACAAACCCAGAUAUCCAGUAUAAUCCUCUCUGGCUAAAUAUGUUUGGGAUUUUUAAGGAGCGGGUCAAAAUAAGUCAUGCUGCGCCGGAGGCUGCAGUGCUAUCUCUGACAAGCCAAGGGAGGAUUUGUGCUGUGCAGAUUCACUGCAUAUUUCUAUUUCUGCCUCGGCCACUCUUAAUCACUGUGAUCACACACACGGAGAGUGCUCCACACAUGGACACACUCUCUAGCCUCCUCUUUGGUGGCCAGUAUUUCUAUCUCCCUCCAGGCAGGCAUGGUCGGAGCAAACCACCUCCAUGUCACUGGACCGACCUCCAGUGUGAUUUCAGAGUCAGAUGAUGUCACCAGUAACAGGUGUUAAGUAGGCUAGGUUUCCCUGGCAACAGUGGAAUCCUCAGACAUGACUGUUCUCCCCAGUCCAAUCCCCUCUGUCCAUUCAUCCCUUCAUCUCUCUCUCCUCCUCUGUCUCUCUUGCUCAUUGAGGCCAGAGAGAGAGAGAGGAGUGUUCUGGUAGCGUGGUCCCAGACCUGUUUGUUCAGACUGGCGAAUUCAUGACAAUGACAAUAGGAGUUGGCAAGACAGCACAAACAGAUCUGGGACCAGGCUAGAGUUCUAGGCUGCUGGGUGGAGAAAGCUGAAAUUGACACGGAUCCAAUUCCAGGUUCCACAUAUUUCAAUAUAAAAAUAAGCUGUUUGAAUCAUUAACCCUUUGGGCACGCUCUGUCAUGUAAUGUUCUGCACCUUUGUCUUCUCCAGGAGUGUUUAUAUUAUAGGGGAUAUGCCAAUUGCCAACAGUUGAAAAUGUAAAAUGUGUAAGUCAAUUCAUUCUCAGUGGGUUGAUAUGGUUCUGUAAUUUGCUGGUUUUGAGGACCAAUAGCAAUAACUUUUAUGUUGGAUUUAUGUUUUCUUUUUUAGAAUUAAACCCUAUCUGUCAUAGUUGAAAAGAAGCGGUACUUUUUCCUGAAAGGGUUAAAAACAAAAAGCUAAUUGACGCCAAUGAAUAAUUAAGCUAUAACGAGAGUCACAGUAUGUGCUUAUCACAGGAACAUUUGGGGCACUAAAUUGUGAUAGCUAGCAAUAUUAGUGCCACUUACAAGGGAUGCCAUUCAUUGACUGAAGUGCCACAGCAGUGCGCAAAGGGUUAAUUCAAGACUAAGGCCACAAGAGGCCUGUAUCCAAGUUAUUUUUUGCACAUUUUUUUAGAUAUUUUAAAUGUCAGUAUUUUAAAACAUAUUCCAAGUGCCUUUUAUUAUAAGUGAAAAUAUAGAAGAUAUAAAAGUAUAUGAAAAAUGAAAUAUAUAUAUAUGAAUAUAUAUUUUUUCCUGGCAUCGUGUUCUCGAGGUUCUUGAACAUGCUUAAUUUUAGAGUUGUAAAAGUCUCCAAUUGGUACAACAUUGCUGUGUGCUUCUGUUUUAGAGGAAUUUUAUUACGAUAAUGUCAAUGGAAAGAAAAUGUUUAAUAAAGUCGCAUUUGAUACAAUUUAUUUGUAAUUUUUCAGUUACUACAUCCGGAGUGCUGCAUCACACACACCACACCUUAUAUUGUUUUAAAAUCACAUCUAAAUUGUAUAUUUAAGUGUUAAAAAUGAUUCCAUAACAACUCAAGUUUAU
Molecule: long non-coding RNA, 4363 nt
Filed under: Salmo salar (Atlantic salmon)
Lineage: Eukaryota; Metazoa; Chordata; Actinopteri; Salmoniformes; Salmonidae
Description: lncRNA (ENSSSAG00000104689.1)
Source: RNAcentral